Molecule: ribosomal RNA, 491 nt
Filed under: uncultured bacterium
Lineage: Bacteria
Description: partial 16S ribosomal RNA
Rfam family: Bacterial small subunit ribosomal RNA
Source: RNAcentral
AGUGAACGCUGGCGGUAGGCCUAACACAUGCAAGUCGAACGGCAGCACAGUAAGAGCUUGCUCUUACGGGUGGCGAGUGGCGGACGGGUGAGGAAUACAUCGGAAUCUACUUUUUCGUGGGGGAUAACGUAGGGAAACUUACGCUAAUACCGCAUACGACCUACGGGUGAAAGCAGGGGAUCUUCGGACCUUGCGCGAUUGAAUGAGCCGAUGUCGGAUUAGCUAGUUGGCGGGGUAAAGGCCCACCAAGGUGACGAUCCGUAGCUGGUCUGAGAGGAUGAUCAGCCACACUGGAACUGAGACACGGUCCAGACUCCUACGGGAGGCAGCAGUGGGGAAUAUUGGACAAUGGGCGCAAGCCUGAUCCAGCCAUACCGCGUGGGUGAAGAAGGCCUUCGGGUUGUAAAGCCCUUUUGUUGGGAAAGAAAAGCAGCAGGUUAAUACCCCGCUGUUCUGACGGUACCCAAAGAAUAAGCACCGGCUAACUUCGU